GUCCGCGAGGACAAUUUGACAAUUGACCUCAAAUCAGGCUGUCGAAGGAUGAUUU
RNAcentral lists this ribosomal RNA (55 nucleotides) under Pleurotus eryngii var. ferulae. Its description in RNAcentral is "partial 28S ribosomal RNA". Lineage: Eukaryota; Fungi; Basidiomycota; Agaricomycetes; Agaricales; Pleurotaceae. The record is from RNAcentral.